Long non-coding RNA from Periophthalmus magnuspinnatus, 269 nucleotides. RefSeq lists it as uncharacterized. The transcript is spliced from 3 exons. NCBI's taxonomy places the organism in Eukaryota, Metazoa, Chordata, Actinopteri, Gobiiformes, Gobiidae. The record is from RefSeq and is a predicted model, not a curated record.
CCACCACUUUGGCUCAUUGCAUUAUUUGGUACCACAAUCAUCGCAGGAUCUCUUGUACUUGUAAUCUUUGUUAAAAAGAAGCUUCACAGGCAGCAAGUGGAGUCACAUCCAGCUGUGUACAACGUGACUGAGGAGCCAAUAGAACCCUACGGCACUUUUAUCCAGACCAAGAGUGGGCUUUAUUCAACUGUCAACUUAAAUAAUGGCUAAAUGAUAAAGAUGCUUGGGGGAGUGAUUUCCAAAUGCAUCUCACCUGUUUGGCCACAGGG